GGGAGGGGCGCGCAGGCGCGGACCGCCUGGCGGUACUUUGAAGAAAGACUUCUCGACGCCGAGACACUGCUGGUGGUACUCGAUGUAGAUCACGUGGAUGGCAGGAGCAGUGGCAAAGGACUUUCAACUGACAGACAAGCAUGAGAUGGUGGUCAGCUACCUCCCACUCAGCCAUAUUGCAGCACAGAUGAUGGACAUCUGGGUACCCAUAAAGAUUGGGGCGCUCACAUACUUUGCUCAAGCAGAUGCUCUCAAGGACUUUGCACCUUGCAGCCCAGAUUUAGCUAACCUUUUACUCGGAGUCAGGCAAUAAAAAUCCUUCAUGAAGUUGGCUGGAACCUGGACAAGUGCAGAGCCCUCUACCCAUACCUAGCACGGGGUGACUGGCAACCAUGCCGUGAAGACACUCAAGCAAUUCUGUGGAGAAGGCCAUGGAAUGAGGAGCUGAGACUUCCUGCCAACAACCAGUCAUCUAGGUCAGAAAUUCAGACAGGGCACAUCUGGGACAGCUUGAAGUCAUGAUGUGCUGGAGCUGGCAUGUAUCAACCGCAUGAGUCAGAGCCAAUUGCAUGCAUCUCUUCUCAGCUUCACAUUCAGUGGUAUCACAUCUGUACCUUGAAAUCAGCCACAGUGGGAGUAUUUACACCACAGGAAUUGGCAAACACUGCAAAUCAGCGCCCCAUGCCACUCAAGAGCCAGUUAUUAAAUAUUUAUCAGAACAUAACUGCUUUAAAGAAUUAUUUAAAAUUCUCAACAAUAUAAAGGGACAUUUUAUUAUUAAAUCCUUAGGGAUGGUCCCACCAAAAUCCCAUAUACAGUAAUAUUAGCAGACUCCAAAUGUACUUAGAUUUGCUAAAAUUCUCAAAUGCAUUUUUUUUUUAGAGACAGAAUCUCACUCCAUUGCCCAGGCCCAGUGGUGUGAUCAUAGCUCAGUGUAGCCUUGAAUUCCUGGGCUCAAGCAAUCCUCCCACCUCAGCCUCCUGAGUAGCUAGAACUACAGGUGUGCACCACCAUGCGGGGCUUAUUAUUUUAUUUUUUUGUAGAGGUAGAGUUGUCCAGCCUGGUCUGGAACUCCUGGCCUCAAGUGAGCCUCCUGCCUCAGCCUCCAAAGUGUUGAGAUUGCAGCCAUGAACCAUGACAGCCAGCCUCAAAUGCUUUUCCAAUAACACACAGACACAAGCCCUGAAAUUUAUAUCAUUGAGUUACUGAAUACAUAUAUGUGCCUGGAUUUCCCUAGCAAAAAUUGGGAAGAAAACAUUUACUUUCCUUUUCCAGGCAGGGUGAGUUAAAUGGUAUGUCUGCAGCUGCGUUGCCAGGGGUCCGUGGCUUUUCAAAAGUGGGUGUCCCUACUGGCAAAAGUGGAUACGGGGGUCUGCAUGUUCCGUGGCAGCUUCCAGGAAGAAUGAGAAGUGGAUAAGAGUGGAUGGUGCAGGUCUAGAAGCAAGAAAGGUCUGAACUAAAUUGGUUGUCACUUGCUGUAUAAGUGAGCCAAAGACAGUGUCUUUCUAUCAGCCCUAUCUCAUUUAUUUCUUUACAGCAGGCAGGCAGGGACCUCUCAGCUCAAAGCCCACCAGCACCAAGCUCAAAUUCUCACACAAUCCAUUGCUAUAAAUAUUGCACAAAUAAGCAUAUGUUUAGUCAUUUAGAGCCCACCUGCUUUGCAUACCCCAUAAAAUUGCACCCAACAACACCUAUUAAUCACAGAGAAGAAAAAUCUUACAGCCAUAAGAAACCCCAAAUUAUUGUUGCCUUUCAGAGUUCUAUGAUGCAGACUCUCCCCACCUUGCUACUCAAUGACAUCACCUAGACACUUAAGCCCUGCCUCUAACUCUCCUCUGUCCCAGGAGUUCCUCUGGAAGGAGUCCUGCUGGAAGGGACAUUCCCCGCAUGCAAACCUAUCUAAGUGCCGUGCAGUAAAGCUUGUUAUGCAAUACUGCCAUCUUAUGGUCCUGUUUUGUUUUGUUUUUUUUGAGCUGCCCCAUCAGGAAUCAAUGAUGUCAUAAGUCAUGGCUCCUGAAAUUGCAAUUUUCUUGUGUGUGUGUGUGUGUGUGUGUAAGCAAAAUUAGGCCAGGCAUGGUGGCUCAC
Molecule: long non-coding RNA, 2085 nt
Filed under: Homo sapiens (human)
Lineage: Eukaryota; Metazoa; Chordata; Mammalia; Primates; Hominidae
Description: HSALNT0395919
Source: RNAcentral